GCGAAGGCAGCUUACUAAACCGAUAUUGACGCUCAGGCACGAAAGCGUGGGGAGCGAACAGGAUUAGAUACCCUGGUAGUCCACGCCGUAAACUAUGAUCACUCGUUGUUGGCAAUACACAGUCAGUGACCAAGCGAAAGCGAUAAGUGAUCCACCUGGGGAGUACGAUCGCAAGGUUGAAACUCAAAGGAAUUGACGGGGGCCCGCACAAGCGGUGGAGCAUGUGGUUUAAUUCGAUGAUACGCGAGGAACCUUACCUGGGCUCAAAUGUAAGUUGACAGUUUCUGAAAGGGAAUUUUCUUCGGACAAUUUACAAGGUGCUGCAUGGUUGUCGUCAGCUCGUGCCGUGAGGUGUCGGGUUAAGUCCCAUAACGAGCGCAACCCCUACUCUUAGUUGCCAUCAGAUAAUGCUGGGGACUCUAGGAGAACUGCCUACGCAAGUAGAGAGGAAGGUGGGGAUGACGUCAAAUCAGCACGGCCCUUACGUCCAGGGCUACACACGUGCUACAAUGGCGGGUACAGAGGGCAGCCACCUGGUGACAGGGAGCGAAUCUCUAAAGCCGGUCUCAGUUCGGAUCGAAGUCUGCAACCCGACUUCGUGAAGCUGGAAUCGCUAGUAAUCGCGCAUCAGCCAUGGCGCGGUGAAUACGUUCCCGGGCCUUGUACACACCGCCCGUCAAGCCAUGGAAGCUGGGGGUACCUGAAGUCGGUGACCAUUUAGGAGCCGCCUAGGGUAAAACUAGUGACUGGGGCUAAGUCGUAACAAGGUA
Molecule: ribosomal RNA, 770 nt
Filed under: uncultured marine bacterium
Lineage: Bacteria
Description: bacterial SSU rRNA
Rfam family: Bacterial small subunit ribosomal RNA
Source: RNAcentral